RNAcentral lists this transfer RNA (71 nucleotides) under Rhinogobius similis (barecheek goby). RNAcentral describes it as "tRNA-Cys". It matches the Rfam family "tRNA". Rfam says of the family: Transfer RNA (tRNA) molecules are approximately 80 nucleotides in length. Lineage: Eukaryota; Metazoa; Chordata; Actinopteri; Gobiiformes; Gobiidae. The record is from RNAcentral.
AGCCCCGAGGUGUUGUACAUACGAGAUUGCAAAUCCCGAGUCGCAGGUUAACGCCUGCCGGGGCUUCCCCC